RNAcentral lists this ribosomal RNA (421 nucleotides) under uncultured bacterium. RNAcentral's name for it is "bacterial SSU rRNA". It matches the Rfam family "Bacterial small subunit ribosomal RNA", at positions 1 to 420 of the family's 1533-position model. The record is from RNAcentral.
UAGAGUUUGAUCCAUGGCUCAGGACUAACGCUGGCGGCGUGUCUUAGACAUGCAAGUCGGACGGGUGCUUAGUUGUAGCAAUACAGUUAAGUGCUAGUGGCGAACGGGUGAGUAAUACAAAAGCAACUUACCUCAGAGUGGGGUAUAACUCCGCGAAAGCGGGGCUAAUUCCCCAUAUUUUCCGUUUGCGCAAGUGGGCGGAGGAAAGGUUUCGGCUGCUCUGAGAUGGGCUUUUGUCCCAUCAGCUAGUUGGCAGGGUAACGGCCUACCGAGGCGGUGACGGGUAGGGGGUGUGAGAGCAUGUCCCCCCACAUGGGAACUGCGACACGGUCCCAACUCCUACGGGAGGCAGCAGUCUAGAAAUUUGCGCAAUGGGCGCAAGCCUGACGCAGCGACGCCGCGUGAGGGAUGGAGUCCUUCG